This is a transfer RNA of 73 nucleotides. It matches the Rfam family "tRNA". From Rfam's summary of the family: Transfer RNA (tRNA) molecules are approximately 80 nucleotides in length. Their secondary structure includes four short double-helical elements and three loops (D, anti-codon, and T loops).
GUUAAUGUAGCAAAACUUGGUAUUGCAAAAGAUCUAAGCCCUUUUUACAGGGGUUCAAAUCCCCUCAUUAACU